Molecule: ribosomal RNA, 492 nt
Filed under: uncultured bacterium
Lineage: Bacteria
Description: partial 16S ribosomal RNA
Rfam family: Bacterial small subunit ribosomal RNA
Source: RNAcentral
AGUGAACGCUGGCGGUAGGCCUAACACAUGCAAGUCGAACGGCAGCACAGUAAGAGCUUGCUCUUACGGGUGGCGAGUGGCGGACGGGUGAGGAAUACAUCGGAAUCUACUUUUUCGUGGGGGAUAACGUAGGGAAACUUACGCUAAUACCGCAUACGACCUACGGGUGAAAGCAGGGGAUCUUCGGACCUUGCGCGAUUGAAUGAGCCGAUGUCGGAUUAGCUAGUUGGCGGGGUAAAGGCCCACCAAGGCGACGAUCCGUAGCUGGUCUGAGAGGAUGGUCGGCCACACUGGAACGGAGACAGCGUCCAGACUCCUGCGGGAGGGAGCAGUGGGGAAUAUUGGACAAUGGUCGCAAGCCUGAUCCAGCCAUACCGCGUGGGUGAAGAAGGCCUUCGGGUUGUAAAGCCCUUUUGUUGGGAAAGAAAAGCAGCAGGUUAAUACCCCGCUGUUCUGACGGUACCCAAAGAAUAAGCACCGGCUAACUUCGUG